CAGGGUGCCAACUACAAGCAUUUGCGAACAAGGAGCAUUGCCUCUUGGAAUAUCCUCCUAUCAUCCUACUCUUUCAUAGGGGAUGUUUCCAGAGUAGUCAAGUGCUAUAGGAAGAUGAGACUAGAGGUGACUCCUAGCAAUGAGACUCUAACUUUGUCCAUCUCUGCAUUCGCCAAGUGUGAGCAUCUCCCUGGUGGAAGAGAGUCAUGUUGCAUGAUGAAUGCCAAGUGAAGAGCAACACCAUAUGGAGCAUCAUGAUGUGGGGCCUUAUUCAGAAU
Molecule: long non-coding RNA, 278 nt
Organism: Zingiber officinale
Lineage: Eukaryota; Viridiplantae; Streptophyta; Magnoliopsida; Zingiberales; Zingiberaceae
Exons: 3
Source: RefSeq, a predicted model, not a curated record